Olea europaea var. sylvestris is the source of this 1380-nucleotide long non-coding RNA. RefSeq lists it as uncharacterized. The record is from RefSeq and is a predicted model, not a curated record. NCBI's taxonomy places the organism in Eukaryota, Viridiplantae, Streptophyta, Magnoliopsida, Lamiales, Oleaceae. The transcript is spliced from 2 exons.
UUAAAACAAGCUUUUGGUAUGUACUUAUGUUUUGGGCUGCUGAACAUUUAAUUUAGUGUGUGGGUUUAUUUGUUUAGAAAUGUUAUGUGGUUUCAACUUGCUGCCAUAAAACUGAGCUUGAACUGCCUCGAUUUUAGUGAACCAUUUCUAGUUUAUGGUUACACACUACUGGUGGCUUGCAAAUUCUUUUAGAUGCUUUCUCCUUUGGUGUUUCUCUCUUUUUUGUGUUUAUUUUAUUUUUAGCUUCUAUCUUCAAUAUUUUUCUGGGAAUAAUGCUUCCUUUGUUGUUGUAAAUGAUAUUGACAGAUAAACUCUGGCUGCGGUAAAGCUUUAAAGUAAGUUUACUUGCUUCAUCUUUCUGAAAUGGUAUUGUUCGAAAUGCUGAAAUCAGGUUUUGGAAAGCUCUUUGUUCUUCUGCUUAAGCUCUAUAUAUUUGAAAAUGCUCAACACUGUUAUAGAGUUUUGAAAGGUUCCUUGAGUUCUGAAGUGGUAAAAAAUAUAAGUUGCAAUAUCUAAUAAUGUAAUCAGUAAUAACGUAAUGCUUAACAAACCUGCAGAUAGUGUAAUGAGAGGAAUAAUAAUAAAACUCAAUGUGGAUGACGUCUAAGAAAUAAGAGAAGAAGGGGCAAGAAUGUCGAAUUGUUCAGUUUAUCAUCUGAGACAUGCGACCUGAUGUUGGGUUAGUGUAGAAGAGGUGUAAGAGAAGUAAAGACGAGAUUUCGGUUAUGGUUUUUGUUUUACAUAUGGAAUUUGUACAUAGUGGAUAUUUUAGAUAUUUACUUGCAGAAUUUUGGCAGUGGAGCUUAUACUUGUGAUUCUAAUUUUACCAUUUCAUUGCCUUGCAUGACAUAAACCCUACUAAUUGUCAAAUUAAUGCCUUCUAGAGCUGCCGAAAAUUGUUAGAGAUAAUAGUUAUGGAUGACAAGGAAGAUGGAAUUUGAUUGAUGAUUUUCAUUGAACGCGUUCUUCUCUUUAAAUAGAGAUUCAUAGAGCUGCUGAAAAUUAUUAUAGAUAAUCACAUCAUCACCCAAAAGAUGCAUCAGACGUGGUUCCCCCGCCAUUCUGAGCGUCCUUCGCCAAUGUUGCUUAAAAAGACAGAGUCCCAAUCUACACGGAGAGCAUUUCUCCGAAAAUCCAAUGAGUAUCAGUUUUUUGUGUAUAUUUUUACCUCAAGAAAAUUGACGUGUCACAGCAUUUCCAAGCUGGAGAAGAGAAUAUAGUUAUAAUCUUAUUUAAGUUUUCUCUACCAUUCCAUGUUCAAAUUCCCUGGUUUCAAUGGGUACGUAUGUAGUCUUUUUGUAAUGUGAUCUGGAUAUCCUUUGGGGAAGCGUAGCUAUUUUAAGAAAAUUAUGGUGAUAUUUGCAUUCAGAGUUAGCUAAA